This 465-nucleotide ribosomal RNA is filed under the name Vreelandella stevensii. RNAcentral's name for it is "partial 16S ribosomal RNA". It matches the Rfam family "Bacterial small subunit ribosomal RNA", at positions 338 to 795 of the family's 1533-position model. Lineage: Bacteria; Pseudomonadati; Pseudomonadota; Gammaproteobacteria; Oceanospirillales; Halomonadaceae. The record is from RNAcentral.
CCUACGGGUGGCUGCAGUGGGGAAUAUUGGACAAUGGGCGAAAGCCUGAUCCAGCCAUGCCGCGUGUGUGAAGAAGGCCUUCGGGUUGUAAAGCACUUUCAGUGGGGAAGAAAGCCUUGGGGCUAAUACCCUCGAGGAAGGACAUCACCCACAGAAGAAGCACCGGCUAACUCCGUGCCAGCAGCCGCGGUAAUACGGAGGGUGCGAGCGUUAAUCGGAAUUACUGGGCGUCAAGCGCGCGUAGGCGGUCUGAUAAGCCGGUUGUGAAAGCCCCGGGCUCAACCUGGGAACGGCAUCCGGAACUGUCAGGCUAGAGUGCAGGAGAGGAAGGUAGAAUUCCCGGUGUAGCGGUGAAAUGCGUAGAGAUCGGGAGGAAUACCAGUGGCGAAGGCGGCCUUCUGGACUGACACUGACGCUGAGGUGCGAAAGCGUGGGUAGCAAACAGGAUUAGAUACCCCAGUAGUC